This 508-nucleotide ribosomal RNA is filed under the name uncultured bacterium. RNAcentral's name for it is "partial 16S ribosomal RNA". It matches the Rfam family "Bacterial small subunit ribosomal RNA", at positions 28 to 523 of the family's 1533-position model. The record is from RNAcentral.
GAUGAACGCUAGCUACAGGCUUAACACAUGCAAGUCGAGGGGAAACGAUAGAGAAAGCUUGCUUUUUCUAGGCGUCGACCGGCGCACGGGUGAGUAACGCGUAUCCAACCUGCCCAUCACUUGGGGAUAACCUUGCGAAAGUAAGACUAAUACCCAAUGACGUCCAUAGAAGACAUCUGAAAGGGAUUAAAGAUUUAUCGGUGAUGGAUGGGGAUGCGUCUGAUUAGCUUGUUGGCGGGGUAACGGCCCACCAUGGCGACGAUCAGUAGGGGUUCUGAGAGGAAGGUCCCCCACAUUGGAACUGAGACACGGUCCAAACUCCUACGGGAGGCAGCAGUGAGGAAUAUUGGUCAAUGGGCGAGAGCCUGAACCAGCCAAGUAGCGUGCAGGAUGACGGCCCUAUGGGUUGUAAACUGCUUUUAUAAGGGAAUAAAGUGAGCCUCGUGAGGCUUUUUGCAUGUACCUUAUGAAUAAGGACCGGCUAAUUCCGUACCAGCAGCCGCCGUAA